This 755-nucleotide ribosomal RNA is filed under the name uncultured Mycoplasma sp. RNAcentral's name for it is "bacterial SSU rRNA". It matches the Rfam family "Bacterial small subunit ribosomal RNA", at positions 28 to 776 of the family's 1533-position model. The record is from RNAcentral. Lineage: Bacteria; Bacillati; Mycoplasmatota; Mollicutes; Mycoplasmatales; Mycoplasmataceae.
GAUGAACGCUCGCUGUGUGCCUAAUACAUGCAUGUUGAACGGGAUGUAGCAAUACAUUCAGUAGCGAAUGGGUGAGUAACACGUACCUAACCUACCUUUAAGACUGGGAUAACUAUUGGAAACAAUAGCUAAUACCGGAUAUAGUUAUUUAUCGCAUGAUGAGUAAUAGAAAGGAGCUUCACAGCUUCACUUAAAAAUGGGGGUGCGGAACAUUAGUUAGUUGGUAGGGUAAUGGCCUACCAAGACGAUGAUGUUUAGCCGGGCCGAGAGGCUGUACGGCCACACUGGGACUGAGAUACGGCCCAGACUCCUACGGGAGGCAGCAGUAAGGAAUUUUCCACAAUGAGCGAAAGCUUGAUGGAGCGACACAGCGUGCAGGAUGAAGCUCUUCGGAAUGUAAACUGCUGUUAUAAGGGAAGAAAAAAUAGAAUAGGAAAUGAUUUUAUCUUGACGGUACCUUAUUAGAAAGCGACGGCAAACUAUGUGCCAGCAGCUGCGGUAAUACAUAGGUCGCAAGCGUUAUCCGGAAUUAUUGGGCGUAAAGCGUCCGUAGGUUUUUUGCUAAGUCUGGAGUUAAAUGCUGAAGCUCAACUUCAGUCCGCUUUGGAUACUGGCAAAAUAGAAUUAUAAAGAGGUUAGCGGAAUUCCUAGUGAAGCGGUGGAAUGCGUAGAUAUUAGGAAGAACACCAAUAGGCGAAGGCAGCUAACUGGUUAUAUAUUGACACUAAGGGACGAAAGCGUGGGGAGCAAACAGG